Non-coding RNA from Gossypium hirsutum (cotton), 107 nucleotides. The record is from Rfam. Lineage: Eukaryota; Viridiplantae; Streptophyta; Magnoliopsida; Malvales; Malvaceae.
AACCCAUGGUGAGGGCAUUUUUGCAAAAGGUUCUUAUAUCUCUCCCAUGCAUCGCAGAGUGUUUCUAAAUCCAUCUGCACAAAAGUAGAGAUAUCAUUACGUAAUUU